AUGAGCUUUUGGGGAGCAACAGUAAUUACAAGCUUAGCUAGCGCCAUACCAGUAGUAGGAGAUACCAUAGUGACUUGGCUUUGGGGUGGUUUCUCUGUGGACAAUGCCACCUUAAAUCGUUUUUUUAGUCUCCAUCAUUUACUCGCCCUUGUUCUUCCUUUUGAUUUAAACGUUCUCCCUCGGGAGCUGCAGAAUUCUGGCAGGGGCAGCCCCCUUUUCCAGAUCAUGAAAAUGUGGUGGAGAGUGAUGAUUCAUCAACUGAUUCAUCAGGGAGUUCAUCUGAUGAUUCAUCAACUGAUUCAUCAGGGAGUUCAUCUGAUGAUUCAUCAACUGAUUCAUCGGAUCUCGACACGGAUUAUGAUGAGCUAA
This 369-nucleotide ribosomal RNA is filed under the name Triticum aestivum (bread wheat). RNAcentral's name for it is "partial small subunit ribosomal RNA". The record is from RNAcentral. Lineage: Eukaryota; Viridiplantae; Streptophyta; Magnoliopsida; Poales; Poaceae.